Drosophila kikkawai is the source of this 357-nucleotide long non-coding RNA. RefSeq lists it as uncharacterized. NCBI's taxonomy places the organism in Eukaryota, Metazoa, Arthropoda, Insecta, Diptera, Drosophilidae. The record is from RefSeq and is a predicted model, not a curated record.
CACGUAUAAUUUUUUUAAUUUUCCGCUUGUGUUAAGAAAAGUAAUAUAAAACAAAUUUAAUUUAAAGUUGUUCCAUCAGUUUUUGAAUAUCUCCUCAUAGAUCAGGAUGGGUAUUCUAUGGUUUUUGCUGUUUUGCGCUCUUUUGCACAUUGUGAGAGCUGUACCCGUCCAUGGACAUGAAUUUCCUUGGUUUAAAAUGGAUUACAUAGGUACUCAGCCUCAUAGACUAGGAUAAUUUAUAUUCCAUUUCAUAUAACACGUCAUAUUUGACACCUAUGUAUGUGACUUUAUAUGAUGUAAAUAUCCUCCUCUUUAAAUGAGUUUCAAUUACUAAAUAUACAAAUACAACCCGCAAAA